UUACAUAUAAAUAUGUGUCCUCAUUUAUUUUUUAGAUAAUUCAGGGUAAAGUAAGGGGUCUUAUGUUUCCGAUUUACAAUUGUUUUAUUUUUACUCACAUAUUUCGAUAAUUUUGGAAUUCUAAAUAUUUUCAGGUAUAUAUUGAAGGAUACUUGGUGUAAGCUGUAAAGAAUAUAUUUGGUGUAAGCUGUAAAGUAAAG
RNAcentral lists this long non-coding RNA (200 nucleotides) under Panax ginseng (ginseng). RNAcentral's name for it is "long non-coding RNA (PGIN_LNC012103)". The record is from RNAcentral. Lineage: Eukaryota; Viridiplantae; Streptophyta; Magnoliopsida; Apiales; Araliaceae.